CUCACGUGUUCGGAGUGGAGACGGUCGCCUGUUCGCCAUUUUCCUGGAAUUUGGAAAUUCCUUGUCUAGUUGGUUAUCUCUCUUAUAAUUGUGCUACUAAAUAUUGUUAAAUAUAAUUUGUUUUCAUUAAACAUUCCUCGCUGUCAAACAGCAACGAUAUUUGUUCUUGUCCAGCCCAGCUUGUGAUUCAUUGCUCAAAAUUUCCUGACUUCAGAAGUUGGUGAGGUGUUAAGUGACGGUGAGGUGUUAAGAGAUCUGCCAGAUUGACCAGGACUCGUGUUCAUCACCAAAUUAUAUUGUGUAGUAAAUAACCUAUGUUUAGUGAACACAAAGAUUCCAAGUCUGAUUCCUUUUUCUAAGUUAGGACAUAACAAUUUUUGUAAAAGAUUUUCUUUUUUGAGUUAGGAUUCAUUUUUGACAGGAAAAUUAAAAAAAAAGUUUUUUUGAGGGGGAAGGACUAGGAGGUACUUUGGAUUCUUUAAUUUUAUUUCUGAGGGUGGACGAGGUGGCAAGAUUCAAAGUUAACUGUAAAUUCCUUGACCCUUGUUCUGUGGCGUUGGAGGACAGCGUCAUUUUGAGGUGAUAGAAUUUUCGAGUAUUGUACAUUUCUUUUGUUCAUGUUCCUUUUUUGACUCUUUUAAAGGUUUCAGCCAUGUCAAGCGAUUUCGUAAUGAAAGUUCUCAAUUAGAUAUUGUUUUUUAUUAGCUUGACUUCACUUCUCCCCGAGAUUAGUUGUUCCUGACUAGUAAUUGCUAUUUUCCGUAUCAACUUCUUCCUAAUAGUAAUUGCCACAAUCUUCUCCUGACUGAAUGUCUUGGAUGCAGUUUUAUCACGGCCAUGUUUACAGUUUGACUGAUCGGCGAUUUCACGUAGUCAUACAAUUAACACAGAUU
Long non-coding RNA from Daphnia pulex (common water flea), 893 nucleotides. RefSeq lists it as uncharacterized. The transcript has 2 exons. Lineage: Eukaryota; Metazoa; Arthropoda; Branchiopoda; Diplostraca; Daphniidae. The record is from RefSeq and is a predicted model, not a curated record.